This 279-nucleotide ribosomal RNA is filed under the name uncultured archaeon. RNAcentral's name for it is "partial 16S rRNA". It matches the Rfam family "Archaeal small subunit ribosomal RNA", at positions 1047 to 1325 of the family's 1478-position model. The record is from RNAcentral.
GAGACCCACGCCAACAGUUGCCAGCUCGUCCUCCGGAAUGGUGGGGACACUGUUGGGACCGCCUCUGCUAAAGAGGAGGAAGGAAUGGGCAACGGUAGGUCAGCAUGCCCCGAAUUAUCCGGGCUACACGCGGGCUACAAUGGGUGGGACAAUGGGUAUCGACACCGAAAGGUGAAGGCAAUCUCCUAAACCCAUCCUUAGUUCGGAUUGUGGGCUGCAACUCGCCCACAUGAAGCUGGAAUCUGUAGUAAUCGUGUCUCAACAUGGCACGGUGAAUAU